GUCUACACUUCUUAAAUUAAAGUGUCUCCCUUUGUCCAUUUUAAAUGUUGGGAGGUAUACAAUGGUCACCACCCCCAUGUUCAAACAAUUGAACAACAGAAUACAAACAUUAAUUGGGUUUCAGGUAACAAGCAGGACAGUACAGGGAAUAUUGCAGUAAGGUUCCUGUUACAGCAUGUUUGGUAGUGUGAAAGAAACCAUUUCUAUUUUAUUUAUACCCUCUAUUUACCCCUAUUAAUUUUGUGUAGAAUAGCAGUAUCUCAC
This is a non-coding RNA of Pelobates cultripes (western spadefoot toad), 264 nucleotides long. The record is from the annotation of a GenBank genome assembly. NCBI's taxonomy places the organism in Eukaryota, Metazoa, Chordata, Amphibia, Anura, Pelobatidae.